AUGGAGUGGAGGGGUGUCCGGAGACCUGCCAUUGCCUAAGGUGAUGGGCUAAGAGGUUAAGAAGCAACUGUGUCCUAGUGAGAGGGAUAUGCCAGCUGAUAGCCAAUGCAGAGCUCUAGUGGUGAAGAUUUUUACUCUGAAGAAACCUCAUUUAAAUAUGAUUGUAAGAUGUUGAGGCCCAGAGAAAGAGGCAUCACAGCAGAGCUAAUUAAAUGAAAAUUAACAAAAUGCAAGCUAUUAUAUUCAGGAGACAUUUUAAAGAUUCCAACUUGCAGUCUGACAACCAAGUUAAUUCUUGCUGGUAGUUCCUGUCUUCUUCAAAAGGAGCUAGGACAGUGCGAUUAUCCCUAAUAUACAGAUGAGGAACAGUGGCUCAGGAAGACCAAGUGAUUUGCCCAAGGUUAAGGAAAGAUUAAAGUGAUGGAACC
Molecule: non-coding RNA, 428 nt
Organism: Pelodiscus sinensis (Chinese soft-shelled turtle)
Lineage: Eukaryota; Metazoa; Chordata; Testudines; Trionychidae
Source: RefSeq, a predicted model, not a curated record